RNAcentral lists this ribosomal RNA (473 nucleotides) under uncultured bacterium. Its description in RNAcentral is "bacterial SSU rRNA". It matches the Rfam family "Bacterial small subunit ribosomal RNA", at positions 328 to 793 of the family's 1533-position model. The record is from RNAcentral.
GCUCCAGACUCCUACGGGAGGCAGCAGUGGGGAAUAUUGCACAAUGGGCGCAAGCCUGAUGCAGCCAUGCCGCGUGUAUGAAGAAGGCCUUCGGGUUGUAAAGUACUUUCAGCGGGGAGGAAGGCGAUAAGGUUAAUAACCUUGUCGAUUGACGUUACCCGCAGAAGAAGCACCGGCUAACUCCGUGCCAGCAGCCGCGGUAAUACGGAAGGUGCAAGCGUUAAUCGGAAUUACUGGGCGUAAAGCGCACGCAGGCGUUCUGUCAAGUCGGAUGUGAAAUCCCCGGUCUCAACCUGGGAACUGCAUUCGAAUCUGGCAGGCUGGAGUCUUGUAGAGGGGGGUAGAAUUCCAGGUGUAGCGGUGAAAUGCGUAGAGAUCUGGAGGAAUACCGGUGGCGAAGGCGGCCCCCUGGACGAAGACUGACUCUCAGGUGCGAAAGCGUGGGGAGCACACAGGAUUAGAUACCCGAGUAA